GAAUGCAGUGGUGUGAUCACAGCUCACUGUAGCCUUGACUUCCCAGGCUAAAGUUAUAAUCCUACCUCAGCCUCCAAAGUAGCCGGUAUCACAGGAUUCACUUGAAGAAGCCCACAGGGACGGGUGACACUGAGGAAACAAAACCCAGGCCCCCCGGCCUCCGACUGAGCCGUGCAGAGCAUGCUGGGAGAUCACCUCCACCUGAGGAGCACAAAAGACCCCAGGAGUGGAGGAAGCUGGCCUGAGGCCAACCGGAUGUAACAGACUUGCUGGGCCCAAGGAGGGAGGUCUGGUGAUGGAGCCUCGAGUACAUAUCCUUCCAAUCCUAAGAGAUGAGCCUGGUGGACUUGAAUUACUGACAACCCACAGCAGAAGCUGAAGAGUACCACUGCUCACGCUCUUUCC
RNAcentral lists this long non-coding RNA (405 nucleotides) under Pan troglodytes (chimpanzee). Its description in RNAcentral is "long non-coding RNA NONPTRT004097". Lineage: Eukaryota; Metazoa; Chordata; Mammalia; Primates; Hominidae. The record is from RNAcentral.